Molecule: small RNA, 369 nt
Filed under: Spisula solidissima (Atlantic surf clam)
Lineage: Eukaryota; Metazoa; Mollusca; Bivalvia; Venerida; Mactridae
Description: cnRNA63
Source: RNAcentral
UGCCCUGAUGGACUGCUGUAUGAUGUCAUGAUAAUCAUGUUAAUUGUUUUUAAAUUUGAUUAAAAAUUCACCAGUAAUGAGUACAUGGUUGUUGUGUUUUUGCAUUUGACAUAUUUAAAAAAGCACCAUUUGGGUUCAAUUUUUAAAAAUUGAAAGCCGAAGGGACACCCCUCUCAUACCCACCCCUUCCCCGCCACUUUACACAACUUUACCCCAGCGCCUUAACAAAUUCCUGGGGAAGGGCCUGUAUAAUGUAUCAAUAUUUCUAGUCUGACUUAAGCACAACAUAUUUCUGAAAUCUGAAUAUCUUUCUUCACAAAACUAUGAGCAAAUACCUUUAUCUGAUACAUUAUACAGGCCCUUCCCUAG